RNAcentral lists this long non-coding RNA (7169 nucleotides) under Brassica napus (rape). Its description in RNAcentral is "long non-coding RNA (BNAP_LNC017458)". The record is from RNAcentral. Lineage: Eukaryota; Viridiplantae; Streptophyta; Magnoliopsida; Brassicales; Brassicaceae.
CGAUUAUGAUCCGUGAGAUCGAGUUUCUCGAUCGAUUUCGCGACGGUUGACGAGAAUUGCGAACUCAUACCACUAGCGAUGUAGAUAACUCCGCCGCAAGCUCCGGUUGCGCACCACCGUCUCGGCGUUCCUAUCGGCGGCCCGGAGGUCCAUGCAGAAGAGAUCGGAUCGAAAAUUAGAGGGUGAGAGAUCGCCGGAGAGAGUUCUUGGUUACUCCCGGCGAUGAUAACAAGUUUUCCGGAGGCGGAAACGCACUGAAUCGGUAAAUUAAAGGAAAUAUACGACGGAUGACGGUAGAUAAUCCGGUUAAGAGGUAGUUCUGGCGGAGGAGGAGGGAGCGGAUCCCAUUUGGAAGAAACCGGGUCGAAACACAUUAACCGGAUAGCUGAGUUAACCCGACGGAAACCCGGAGCCGGAUCCGAGCUCGAGGCGACGAAAAGCGCGUAGAGAGACGAGAACGGUGGGAACUCGGGAGAGUAUACGAGGCGGCGCCACCGUGUACAAACGGCGGCGAGUAGCGACGGACGGAAUACGAGGGAAAGGCAGAUCUCCGAUAUGUGGUCGGGAAGUCCGUCGAUUAAGACGAUUUGCUUUCCGUCGUCGGUUCUUCUUCGCUUCACCGGCGUUGAUCGUGCGGCAGCGGUAGCCAUUGAUGCAGACCGUUUCAGUAUCGCUUCUCUCUCUGUGUGUUCAUAUUUAAUUUUCUUCAUUUAUUUAUUUGGGAUAUAAUGAGACAAGAGAGGCGUGAACUGUAAUGAAAGAGAGGGAAAAGUUGUGUGCAGACUGCAGAGAGCCAUAUAUCAAAAUCGAAAAGGCCAAAGUUGGAAAAGUGUUAACGUUGUCACAAUAAUAAAUAUAUAAAGCUAACUGGAAAAAUAUUACUAGUACUUACAUUUUUAGCAUCAUAUAUGAUUAGAAACAAGUGGGUAUUUUAUAAUAAAGUUUAACCUAGUUUGACAAUAACUAAACAAUAUGUUAUUCUAUUAUUAUUAAAAUAAGAUAUUCUUUGCUCUAGAAACAAUCAUAUUUUAUUUACAUGCAUGUCCAGUUCUACUAAUAACAGAAUUAGAUUUUAACAAUGAAAAAAAUAAAAUGAAAAACUAAGAGAAAAAAUUGAGACUUUUGAUAGUUUCUAAUGAGAAAACCAAAAACAUCACUCGCGGCAAGAGACUCCGAUGUCUUUCGAAGUAUAUUUUAAUAUUUACAAGAGGCAAAUUACUUACAACAUGAGAUGUGUUUCAUUAAUAUUAUGAGAAGUCUAUUCGAUCUAUUUACUAAAUGUUUCCAUUCCGUUUCAUUACAAACAAAUUUUGUAUUCUUGCACUUACGCAAGGACAUAACAUCUUAAGACGGCUCAGGAUGAUAUAGUCAGGCGUGAAUCUUCAUAAGGCAGGUAGAAUUGCCGGCUGUAGAAUUGUCUUGAAAUAUUUCUCAUAGUUUGUAAUAGCAUAACUAACCAUCGACAAAAAAAAAAAAAUCUUAAUCGGUUUCUUGUGUGAGUGGUGUAUUUUCGACCUUGUAUAUAAAUGUCUCUACUCAGUUGAAAAAUUCUUUAUGUGUAUAUAUCUAACUUCGUAACUCGUAUAUAUUGCUAUUCAAUGUCAUAUUUUUUCUUUGCAACAUUUCUGAUUUUCUUUGUGGUUCUUUAGAAAAAGAGAAAUAACAUAUUUAUAGAAAAUUUCCGUAUUUGACAAGGAGAAAUGUAACAAUAAUUUUACAAUGAAAUGGAUUUUACAAGGACAUAACAAAUAACUUAUAAAUAUAUGUCUUUUUCUAAACAACUAAUCAGACACACAACAAAUAUGUUUUCACCUACCAUCUACUUUUACUCGUAAUUUCGCCAUUAGUUGGAUGGCAAAGUUGAGGUUGUAAUAUACUCAUAAUUUAACAACUACAUUACGAUGAAAGUUACCAUUCAUCGUUAAAAAAUCGUAACAUUACGUUGGGGUUAAAAGCGUAGAGAAUAUAAACUCUUGAAGAGGUAACUUUCUUAUUGAUUAACUCUCUUAAAAAGUUUGCUUUUACAUCACUUGUGUAUUUAUAGGAAAGCAUUCUAGGUUAAAUGAGCUAGGCCACAUCAUCGUUGAGGAUAGCAAAAAUUCGAGCUCGGUACCCGGGGAUCCUCUAGAGUCCAGAAAGCAAUGGAGCCCAUUGCUCAUACUGGUAAUGCUGCUAAAACCCCUAGCAGAGUGACCGAGGCGAGGGGGGGAAGAAAACGCUCCAAAUGAAUGGAAUCUUCUGGAAUUGCAUAUGGUAUAUCAUGAUAGGGUUCAAGAUAUGAUUAGUGAUGCAUUUUUAGAAACAACUACAACAAUAGCUGAUGGAACUGGAAAUGUAGAAGAACCUAAUUUGGAUGCAAAAAGGUUUUAUGAAAUGCUAGAUGCUGCAAAUCAACCAAUCUACACUGGUUGUAGAGAAGGUCUCUCUAAAUUGUCUCUAGAAACUAGGAUGAUGAAUAUUAAAACGGAUCAUAAUUUACCAGAGAAUUGCAUGGAUGCGUGGGCGGAGUUGUUUAAAGAGUAUUUGCCAGAAGACAACGUGUCUGCUGAAUCAUAUUAUGAGAUUCAGAAAUUGGUUUAUAGUCUUGGGUUGCCUUCGGAGAUGAUUGAUGUUUGCAUCGACAACUGCAUGAUCUACUGGAAAGAAGAUGACAAGUUAGAAGAGUGUCGAUUCUACAAAAAAACACGAUUCAAACCGCAAGGCCGUGGGAGGAAUAGGGUACCGUACCAAAUGAUAUGGUACCUACCAAUUACAGACAGAUUGAAAAGAUUAUAUCAAUUUGAGAGGACUACUGCAUCGAUGAGGUGGCAUGCAGAACAUGUCCAGAGAGAUGGUGAGGUUGCACAUCCAUCAGACGCAAGAGCGUGGAAACAUUUCAACAAGGUACACGCAUAUUUUGCUACAAAUAUCCGGAAUGUCUAUCUUGGGUUAUGCACCGAUGGAUUUAGUCCAUUUGGAAUGUCUGGUAGACAAUAUUCUUUGUGGCCAGUCAUUCUUAUGCCGUACAAUUUACCGCCGGAUAUGUGCAUGGAACAAGAAUUUCUAUUUUUGACCAUAUUAAUCCCUGGGCCGAAGCAUCCAAAACGGUCUCUUGAUGUUUUUCUUCAACCGUUGAUAGAAGAGCUAAAGCAAUUGUGGUCAGAAGGGGUGACGACGUACGAUUGUUCCUUGAAAAACAAUUUUACGAUGCGAGCAGUUCUGCUGUGGACGAUAAGUGAUUUCCCUGCUUAUGGGAUGUUGUCUUGCUGGACAACACAUGGAAGAUUAUCUUGUCCAUAUUGUUUUGGAUCGACGGAUGCUUUUCAACUGAAGAAUGGUAGGAAGAGUUGUUGGUUUGAUUGUCAUCGUCGCUUUCUUCCACUUGCCCAUCCGUACAGAAGAAAUAAGACAUUAUUUUGGCACAAAAAAAUUGUCAGAGGCAGUCCUCCUCCAUAUCUCACCGGCCAGCAGAUCGAAGCAGACAUUGAUUAUUACGGAGCUCAGGAAACAGUUAAGGUUGGAGGAAAUUGGCAUGUUCCUGGAAAUAUGACUGAUGGGUAUGGUGUCUUUCACAAUUGGCAUAAGAAGAGUAUAUUUUGGGAGCUACCCUAUUGGAAGGAUCUUCUCUUACGCCACAAUCUGGAUGUCAUGCAUAUUGAGAAGAACUUCUUUGAAAACAUCAUGAAUACAUUACUUAACGUCCCUGGGAAGACAAAAGAUAACAAAAAGUCAUGGAUGGACUUACCUGAUAUUUGCUCAAGAAGUGAGUUACAUAUCAAGAGCAAUGGAAACGUUCAUGUUCCCAUCUUCCGGUUGUCAUCAGAAGCCAAAACAACCUUGUUUGACUGGGUUGCAUCAGAAGUAAAGUUUCCUGAUGGUUAUGUUUCAAAUCUGUCAAGAUGUAUUGAACGAGGUCAAAAGUUCUCCGGAAUGAAGAGUCAUGAUUGUCAUGUGUUUAUGCACCAACUCCUUCCAUUUGCUUUUGCCGAGCUCCUUCCAGCAAAUGUCCAUGAAGCACUUGCAGGUAAUUAUAAUUUUAUAAUAUAUAUACAUAUGUUAUGAAAUGUUAUUAAUUUGAUUACUUUUGCAAUAUACAGCCAUCAGAGCAUUUUUCAGAGAUCUUAGCACACGUACGUUCAAGGAAGAAGUCAUCGAACAACUUCAUCAGAACAUUCCGAUCAUAUUGUGCAACCUGGAGAAGAUAUUUCCUCCUUCAUUUUUUGACGUCAUGGAGCAUCUAGUUGUCCACCUACCGUAUGAAGCAUUGCUUCGUGGACCUGUUCACAACGGAUGGAUGUAUCCGUAUGAGCGACAGAUGAAACAUUUGAAGGGGAAAGCAAGAAAUCUUGCAAAGGUGGAAGAUUCAAUAGUUGCAGGGAGUUUGACAGCCGAAACAUCUAACUUCACAUCAUACUACUUUGCUCCAACUGUUCGUACGAGAAAAAGAGUUCCUAGAAGAUAUGAGAUGGUGGAGUACCGACAUCAUAUCCAAUUGAUGGUGUUCCUGACAUUUUCUGCGAAAUUGGACGGUUUGGUGGUAAAACGAAAGAAGUAUGGUGGUCAUGUGAAGAGGAUAAACAUAGUGCCCACACUUACAUUCUGCUCAACUGCGAGGAUGCAGUGACCCGUUACUUUGAAAGGUAAAUAUUUUUGUGAAUGUUAAUUAUAUGAAUUGAAGUUAAUUAUGUAUGACUUGAUUAUUUGUUUAAUUUGCAGCAUGUUUGUAUCUCAAGUUGAAGAAACAAUACCAGGAAUAUCUGCAACUGUUGUGGACACACGUAAAGAUAAGCACACGUAAAGAUAAGCACUUUGUCAAGUGGUUAAAAUCACAGGUACGUAAUAUAUCUCAUAUAUUGAUUAAUUAAGUAAGUGUUUUGAUACUUCAAUAUUAAUUAAGAAUAUAUGCUUUUUGCAGGUUGAUUAUGACGAUCCUUAUUAUCCCGUAUGGUUUCACGAAUUGGUUCAAGGUCCAGUUGCAAAGGUCACCACAUCACCUAUGUAUUUCACACGAGGAUUUACCUUUCACACAUACGAGUAUGGGAGACAUCGGGCAACGAGUAAGUACGGAAUAUGUGUGAAAGGUGAAACAGACUUUUACGGGAUCUUGCAAGAGAUUAUUGAAGUGGAAUUUCCGAGGUUAUUGAAGCUAAAAUGCGUCCUCUUCAAAUGUGAAUGGUUCGAUCCUGUUGUGAACCGAGGAAUUCGGUAUAACCAAUUUGGUGUUGUGGAUGUCAAUUUUGGGAGAAGAUACAACAAAUUUGAGCCUUUCAUUUUAGCUUCACAAGCCGAGCAAGUUAGCUUCCUUCCUUAUCCUCGGCUUCGAACUUCCGGGAUAAACUGGUUAGCUGCUAUCAAAAUUACACCUCGUGGACGCAUUGUCGCUGGAGAAGAACCGCCCUUGCAAGAAGAAGACGCUAUCAAUGAAGUUGAGGUACCAAAACAACUAACUGAUGAAAUCCUUUUGAUCGAUCCGCAAAACUUUCAAUGUGAAGAUAUUCUCGAAGAUGCUACAGAUGAAGCACGUGAAGACGAGUUCGAGAGAAGCGACGAUGAUGAUUGUAAUGAUAGUGAUGAGAAUGAAAACGAUUUAGAGUGAUGUAAUAUUGAUGAGAACGAAAACGAUUUAGAGUGAUGUAAUAUUGAUGAGAACGAAAACGAUUUAGAGUGAUGUAAUAUUGAUGAGAACGAAAACGAUUUAGAGUGAUGUAAUAUUGAUGAGAACGAAAACGAUUUAGAGUGAUGUAAUAUUGAUGAGAACGAAAACGAUUUAGAGUGAUGUAAUAUAUGUAACAAAUGUUGUAUUUAAUAUUGUUUUUUUACCAUCUUAAUGUAUGUGUAACAAAUGUUGUUUUAUAUAAUAUGUAUUUCUUUAGUUUUUAAAAAUUUAUUUGGAGUUUUUGGGUUUUAGAGUUUAAGUUGAAUAAAGAGCAAGAAGUAGUAGAGAAGAAGAUAUGAUGUUAGGUGAUACGUGACUUUGGGGUUUAGGGAUUUCAUUCUCGGUGUUUAGGGUUAAGCGUUGUAAAAUCGUUGUAAAAAUAACACGGACAUGGUAACUUGGUCGUAAAUGGUUAAAUCGAUUCUACUUAAUCUGAUGCUCGUUUACUUUUUAAACUCAAAAAAGCAAUUGAUAGUGAAUGAAAUAAAACUAACGUCGCCAUUUAUAAGAUUACUUUCGUUAGUACAUUUAAUUUCUCUAACAAAUUAUUUUAAAUAACUAUUUUUAUUGUACUUUAUAGAUGUGAAAUUUCUGAAGUAAGCAUCUGACUUGAAGGUAAAAUAACGACAAGAGCACACUUUUUCUCGCAGAAUAAGAGAAAUAAUCAAAAAAAAAAAAAAGAGUUCCGUAUAGAAGAAAAAGAACAAAAUUAUAGUAUAUUUCAAACAUUAUACGUCAGCUAAAAUCCGGUCGGCUCAUCCUUGGUAAUACAUGAACCGAAACCGGUUCAAGCCCUUGAGGUUUUUCCACGGUCCAAAUCUUCGCCGGCUCCGUCAUAACAUCCACCAUUACAAUUCUUCCGUCAACGGUAAUAAUAGAAAGCUUUCCGGCUACCGCCGUUAUUUGCUGAGCUCCUUUAAGCAACUCUUCACCACCUUCCACCACCGCUACUUCUCUCCACUCUCUGUUAUCGGCAUCGUAUAUCCUCACUGUUCCUUUCUUCUCAUCAACUGAAUAAAGCGUCUCCUCCUCCAUCGCCGCCACCGGACCUCUCCAUCCCGCCACCAUUUCCUCCGGCAUCGCUUCCCAAUCGUCAUUAACGACGUCGUAUAUAGCUCCUUCUUUAACUGCGUCGCCUUUUACAUUCACCAUUAAGAGCUUCCUUCUCCAUCCAACUGCGUCAAUGGCUUCACGGCUAAACCGUAAGUCUCUCAUCUCCCUCAGUUUCUCCCAGUUACUGCGAUUAUGAUCCGUGAGAUCGAGUUUCUCGAUCGAUUUCGCGACGGUUGACGAGAAUUGCGAACUCAUACCACUAGCGAUGUAGAUAACUCCGCCGCAAGCUCCGGUUGCGCACCACCGUCUCGGCGUUCCUAUCGGCGGCCCGGAGGUCCAUGCAGAAGAGAUCGGAUCGAAAAUUAGAGGGUGAGAGAUCGCCGGAGAGAGUUCUUGGUUACUCCCGGCGAUGAUAACAAGUUUUCCGGAGGCGGAAACGCACUGAAUCGGUAAAUUAAAGGAAAUAUACGACGGAUGACGG